GGUCUGGGCUGACUCCUCUUCUUACCACUGUUUUAGUGGUAUUUGUUGCUCUUGGCUUGCCCUCAGAAACUGCAGCUGAUGAUCACUACAAGUAUUCAUCUCCUCCUCCUCCUUACCACUAUCCCUCACCACCACCUCCAGUGCAUUUACCUCCACCAGUGUACAAAUACAAGUCCCCACCACCACCUCAUCAUGUUUACAAGUACAAAUCUCCACCACCCCCACCACCACACCCAGUUUACAAGUAUAAGUCGCCACCACCACCUCCUCAUCCGGUAUACAAGUACAAGUCUCCUCCGCCACCUCCUCAUCCGGUACCACACCCAGUUUACAAGUAUAAGUCACCACCACCACCUCCUCAUCCGGUACCACACCCAGUUUACAAGUAUAAGUCUCCUCCGCCACCAGUUUACAAAUAUAAGUCUCCUCCACCACCACCUCCAGUGUACAAAUACAAGUCUCCACCACCACCAGUUUACCACUACAAGUCUCCACCACCUCCUCCCCCAGUUUACAAAUACAAGUCUCCACCACCACCACCACCAGUUUACCACUACAAGUCACCACCACCUCCUCCCCCAGUUUACAAAUACAAGUCUCCACCACCUCCUCACCACUACUAAGCAAUUGCUUCUGAGGUAAUAACACUUGUUCAAUAUACCCACUUCUGCAUGAUAAAGCAUAUCUCUAUCAACACAAACUGUCAUGUCUAUCAUGCUAAGUGCCUUCACUUCAUCCACCAAAAUGACUGCUAGAAAAUUUUUUUUAUGUUACCAAAGAAAGGCAUCAUUUUUUCCCUCUGUUAUCAAGAACUUGUACAGUAUAUAGAUUAAAGAGUAUUUUUUUAACUAGCUUAUCAACUGAGAAAUGCAUAUAGCUGAUAGCCAGCUGAAUAUUUGCAGGCAAAGGAGAAGGAAACCAGUGUUUGAGACCUUCUUGAAGAUGUAGAAGCAUAAGAAUUAAAGCCCAAUGUGAAGAUGAUGAUUUCAAGUUUUUCUACGUUACCAUUUCUUUAUCUAAAUUGGUUGUAGCGCCUUAGUUCCUUUGUUUAUGGGAUUUGUAUCGUUUUACGUACCAUGCAGUACAUGUCAUGUUUGUAAGGUUUUCUAUCCUGCCGGCAAACCGCAGGUUCCAUGUAAUAAAUCAAUACUAUUUAUAUUACGACACUUUUCUCUGUUUCUCUUAUAUUUUGUCGUCUUUAAUAUUCUUAAUCAUAUUUUUAACAAAAAUAUUCAAACACUUAGGCAAUCUGGUCUAAUGCUAAUUGUAUGUUUUACUUUUCUUUUUCACCUGCUCCCCUUUUCAACUCAAAAGGAUGCAAUAGUUUGUGAUCACUGUUGAAGACGGAAGCAUGAUACUAAUGAAUAUAUCAUUGAAACUCAAGGAAACUAACAUUAUGAAAAGUGUAAAUCUUGAUUUGAUGCAACUAUUUAUUCGUGGAAUCUAUAGUUACAAAACUCAAACUCUGACUGCGCCAUUGAUAAAUUAUUAAUGACGCUAUCAUCAUUAUUUAUCCCCAACUAGUUUCGACUACAACUGAACCCAAUAUUUUCCCCAUGAUAAAAGUUUUUUACUAUUUUACUGGCCUCUCUUCAAAUUUUAAAAAUUACACUAAUCUUCAUUGAGAUUAAUUAUCUUGUAGCAUUUAAGUCCAAUUAAUAAUUAAAAAAUAAUAUUAUGAGAGAGAAAAUAAUAUAAUUUUAUCAUUGCCCCCCAUCUUGCUAUAUUAUUUAAUUAAUUUAAUAGCAACCCACACAUUAAAGAAAAAUACUAAAAUUUGCUGCUUUUCAUUAAAGAUCAAAUUGCAUAUGCCAUAAAACAUAGUAUAUCAUUCUAUAUGUUUCACUUAAUGUAAGAUCCCAAUUGUUCUUUUCAAUUACAAACCCAUUGUCAAACAUGAUCAAUAACAAAUAACCAAAAAAUUUGCAACCAAAAUAUUACAAAAAAAAACUUUAACAUCAUAAAUAUUCUUACCACCUCUAGUGCAUUCACCCUCAUAAAAUAAUUCAAGACCCUACUGUCAUAAAAUGACUGAUCAACUCCUGUAAACCUAAUUUGACAACAUUUAAAUGGAGAACUUUAGCUAAAAGAAUUAUGGUCAAGCUAAAGAAAAAACCAGUUAUUUUCCAACAUAUGCAAUCAUUGAUCAGGGAAAAAAAAAAGAAGCAAAAAGACAUCUUCAAUCAUUUAAUAGCUUACAGGGCAAAUUAACCCCUAAGCGAAAACUGGUUGCUCUAGAAUCAAAAUUUUACUUUAGUUACCCAGGCAACUUUUUUUGUUGCCUUUUCUUUUUCUUUUUUGGGUAUAUAUAUAGCUCCAGUUUUGCCCCCUCUGUCAAGCUUAUAUAAUUAUUAAGAUAAUAAAAGUGCCUUUAAUAGUAUUAAUAUAUCCAUUGACUUGAGCUGUCAUCGAUCGGUUUGGGCUACUUCGAUUCCAUGAGAACAAAUGGUAAUAAAAGUACUCAGAAAAUGGGGAGUCAUGAAACCCUUUUGUUCUAUUCAUUGCUAAGAUGCUUUUCUCUAUAAAGACACUUCCUAACGAAAAUACUUUGUAGAUUUCUUUACUCCAAGUGGUGCAUGGAAAAUUAAUAUUUUCAAUUAUCAAAUAAAAUUCCCUUUUUUCGGUGUAGAUUUCAUCCAUUCAGCUGUUAACACUCCGAAUUGACUAAUCUUUUCGUUUCCAUUUUCCAACUUGCGAAUACGGCAUCUUACAUAUUGUCUGCUGAAUAUGAAUACAUAUCCCUUUUCUGAGCAGGUGCAGAGUCAUUAUCAUUUUUAUUCCCACCUAACAAAUUAGUUAAUAAUCUUUUAAAGAACAUGUUAAAUUAAUUUAUUGGUAUGAAUAGUAGUCAAAGAAGUAUGUUAAAGUUAGUAAUCUUUAAAAUAAUAUGUUAAAAUUAUUCGUACAAAUUAGCCAGAGAAGUAGCAUAAACACCGCGAUGCAAUUAAUACUUUCAAUCUCAAGGUCUCUAUUAUGGAAAUUUGCAUCGGUCAACAUACACAAAGCAUUAUUGUAUGCACGUCUCUCUAUUAUGGAAAUUUGCAUAGGUCAAUAUACACUUGGCAUAGUUGCAUGCACGUCCAAUUUUUUUUUAUUUUUAUUUUUGGUAUUUUACUUCCUGCCUUAAGUUGCCUGCAGAUGUUUGUAUUACAAAUAUAUGGUAUACUAAAUAUAUAGUAUGCACAUUAAUUUCUUUGGGUUGCUUAAGGGUAUAUUGUUAAUAAUAGGGGGUUUAACCAUAAAUUAUAACAAUGAUGAAGUAAUAUAUAUUAGAAAAUUAACACAAUUAUGAUUUUUUUUUUUGUAAAAUUCAAAUUUUAUUAAUAAGAAAUGAAAUAGGCAGUAAGCAUUUACAAACCGAAAACAAAAUCCUACAACAACUCUAGGACUCUACACCUUAUUAAAAAAAAACAUUUUGAUAGCGUUUUUCCAAAAGCAGAAGAUGGAAAAUUGCCCAUUUGUACUGGGGAGUUCGUGAUCUUUUCCUCAUUCUAGUCUACUUACAAUUCUUGGAAAAAGGAAUACUCACAUCUCAAACAACAGCCUGUUCAUCUGCAGUGUCCUGCCGAAUUCUAGAAAGUUUGGUGGCAAUGUUAAUUACAUUUCAAAAUUGACUGCUGCGAUAACUAAUUCGAUGGCUUACUACAUGGUCAACGUUUGGAUCUCUUCCUGUCCUUUUUGGAUGCACAUUUUUUUUCUCUAGGUAAUAUAUAAUCUCCCAACUCAUUUCUUUACAAAUGCACCUUUAAUCACCACCAAAAGGUGUGGACAUGAUCUUUACCCUAGAAAACUAUUCACCGACAGGCAAAUUGACGUCAGAAAUACUAAGAGGAAUUCUAGUUUCCUUCGGGUUAAUGCCAUUUUGUACCCUUCAACUGUAACUCAAUUUCUAAGCUGUAAUUUGUGACAUUAUAGUCCUUAAACUAUGAAACCCUUUCUUAUUUAAUUACAAUGGUUAAUACAAUGCCCGUGACUAGACAAGUAUGAAGCAACCAUAACAAAAAAAAAAUCCAAAAUUAGAGAAAAGAAAGAAGUUGCGACCAAAGUAUGUAUCAAGGCAUAGUAUAGAAAUAAAAGUGUCAAAAUUAAGAGUUUAGGGAUAAAAAAGAAUCAAAAUAUAGUUUAGGAAUUGAUUUGUCUCAAUUAGAGUUUAGAUGUCAACUAAGAAGAGAGAUAUAGUUGAAGGGUAGAAUAUAGAUAUAACAGUUCAAUGAUUGAUAUCAACGAGACAAUGACAACUUUGGAUUAUUACCAACCUCUUCUUGAUGGAAAAGGAAAUAGAGAAGAAAGUCGGGCCUGGUCUAAGCCUGUUUCGGAGGCAAAACAACAUUAUGAAAUCACCGGCAUUCACACAAAUAUGUCAAAGUCACCGGCAUGCUAAGUUGCAAAAUUUAUACAAACACUGAAUAUUAUAUUCUUCUCAAAAUUUUUGUUUAAGAUUUAACAAUUAGAGCACGGUACACGAAUUAGCAAUAUUAAAUAAUGAAUGUUCACGAUUGAUAAAGUUAUCAAAGUACAGUUUGAGGACAACCCAUUCCAACGUGUACAAGAUGUUUAGCCUUUGAAAAGUUAAUUAGAGAAGGUGACGAGAUUUUACUAGGCUUACAACUUCUAGGCCUUGGGAGUAAAAAGUGAAGACACUGAGUGCUAUAAAAAGGGGGCUAGAUGUUGCCUAGAAGCAUAUCAGCCUCGGACCACAUUUUGUAGCAAUGGGGAGCAAAGCAAAAGCAAUGGGGUCUAGGCUGACUCCUCUUUUUACCACCGUUUUAGUGGUAUUUGUUGCACUUGGCUUGCCUUCAGAAACUGCAGCUGAUUACGACAAGUAUUCACCUCCUCCUCCUCCUUACCAUUAUUACUCACCACCACCUCUUGUGCAUUCACCUCCACCACCGCCAGUUUAUAAGUCACCCCCACCACCUUAUCACUACUUCUCACCACCACCUCCAGUGUAUCCAUCUCCACCACCAUCUGUUUACAAGUCACCUCCACCACCUUCGCCAGUAUACAAGUCCCCACCACCACCUUAUCAAUAUUCCUCACCACCACCUCCAGUGCAUUCACCUCCACCACCACCGAUUUAUAAGUCACCUCCACCACCUCCUCCAGUUUACAAGUCCCCGCCACCACCUUACCAUUAUUCCGCACCAUCACCUCCAGUGCAUUCACCUCCACCACCACCGAUUUACAAGUCACCUCCACCACCUCCUCCAGUUUACAAGUCUCCAUCACCACCUUACCAUUAUUCCUCACCACCACCUCCAGUGCAUUCACCCCUACCACCACCGGUUUACAAGUCUCUGCCACCACCUUACCAUUAUUCCUCACCACCACCUCCUAUGCAUGCACCUCCACCACCAAUAUACAAGUCACCUCCACCACCUCCUCCAGUUUACAAGUCUCCACCACCACCUUACCAUUAUUCCUCACCACCACCUCCAGUGCAUUCACCCCUACCACCACCAGUUUACAAGUCUCCGCCACCACCUUACCAUUAUUCCUCACCACCACCUCCUGUGCAUGCACUGCCACCACCAAUUUACAAGUCACCUCCACCACCUCCUCCAGUUUACAAGUCCCCACCACCACCUUACCAUUAUUCCUCACCACUACCUCCAGUGCAUUCACCUCCACCACCACCGAUUUACAAGUCACCUUCACCACCUCCUCCAGUUUACAAGUCUUCACCACCACCUUACCAUUAUUCCUCACCACCACCACUCUUCAAUUUGGAUGUAAUUCAAUUUUCCUUGUAAUCGGUGGCCCUCCUUCGGAAUCCAAAUAGUCAUUGAGUGCAGCCUUCUUUCUUUAUUUUUUACUCAUUUUCACCUCAUAAAUUGCUUUCAUCCCCUAAAACUUGUUCGCUGGAAUUUUGAAUUUACCCAUACAACUAAACUCAGAAAAUUCUUACACAAAGGGAUUAGUAGCAUGAAUAGCAAACACAGAAUAAGAGAUAACAGUAUGUUUUAUUGUAUUAAAAAUAUUAAAGUGGAUUAUUUCUCCAUCGAAUUCCAUUGUGAGAGUAUCGUUACUAACAUCAAUCUUAGUUUGAGCAGUACUCAAGAAUGACCUUCCUAAUAUAAUGGGUGAUGGAUUUGGGACACUUUCAUCAUCCAUAUAAAACACAUAAAAAUCAACAGAAAAAAUUAAUCCAUCUACUUGAACUAAAAACAUCCUCAACUACCCCAUUUAGAUAAGCAAAUAUACGAUCAGCCAAUUGAAUUAUUAUCCCUAUUUCUUUUAAAUGUUCUAAAUUUAGGGAAUCAUAAAUUGAUUUAGACAUCACAUUAAUAGAAAUCUUUAAAUCUAUCAUGGCAUUUUUUAUAUUAGAAUGUCCAAUCUUACAUGAGAUAGUAAACAUACCUAGAUUCUCGCAUUUAGGUGGUAGUUUCCUUUGUAAAAUUGCUGAAACGUUCUCAUCUACCACAAUAUGCUUGUCCUCCUCAAUUUCUUCUUGUUGACACACAAGUUUUUCAAGCAUUUAACGUAUUUUGGAACUUAUUUGAUUUGCGUCCAACAAAGGGAUAUUGAUUGCCACCUUGCGAAAAUCUCUAAAAUCUCCUUUUCUUUAUCUUGUUUCUUUGAUUUCUCUAACCUGCUUGGAAAAGGUGGUGAGUUAGUUCCAACUCUAAUUAUAGAAUCAACAAUUACCUUUGGAUUCACAUUUCUCAUUCCUUCCUCCUCAAGCUCUUUGUCGAUUCGAUCUUCAUUUUUAUCCUUUGGAAUCACAACUUCGGAUCCCUGAAUUUUCUUCUCGCUCCUUAAGGUCAUUACACUUACAUUCUUCAGGUUCAGUUCAGGUUGAGACGACAAUUUUUCAUAGAUUUGGGAUUCCAGGCGGUUGAUUGCUAUUACCAUCUGACUCAUCUGACUCUGCAGUGCUUGCACCUGUCCCAAUUGAUUCCUCAUACUUUGCAAGUCAAAAUCCAUCUUUUGUUGAUUAGCAAUUAAUUGCUUCAUUAUCUCUUCUAUAGAUGGACUUGAGUUUGAAAGAGGUGGUGGCGGGCGAGACUGAUACUGUUAUUGAUACCCUUGCUAUCUAUUUGGUGCAAAAUCUGGCUACCUAUUUCCUCCAUAGCUGAGGUUGGGAUGAUCUCUCCAACCAAUAUUGUACGUAUUCGUGUACGAGUCGUAUGGUUUUCUUGGCACGGCGCGUGACCAGCCAUGUUCACUUGCUCCGUACUUUUCUCUUGAAUCAUUGAGCACAUCUCUGUAGAAUGACCCAUAGCAGUGCAGAUCCCACACAUCUUGACUCGUGAUGCAUUUCCUAUAGCUAAUUGCCUAACAAAGGAUGUUAAUUCGGUCAACUGCUGUUGGAUAGAAUAUGUUUCUACCUCAUUUACUUUGCGUGUUGGGGCAUCCUCCCUCGUACCAAACUGUUGCGAAUUUUCCGCCAUUCCUUCAACUAGCUCCCACGCUUCUCGAGAAGUCUUGUUCACCAAUGCCCUUCUACUUGCAGCAUCAAUUAUACUCCUGUCUCUAAAACGCAGCCCCUCGCAAAAAUAUUGGAUGAGCAAUUGCUCACUUAUUUGGUGUUGAGGGAACUUGAUGCAUAACUUCUUGAAUCGCUCCCAAUAAUCAUAAAGCGACUCUCCUGGAUGCUACUUGAUACCGUAUAUCUCCUUCCUUAGACUUGCAGCUCGAGAUGCAAGAAAAUAUUUGUCCAAGAACUUUUUCUUCAGCUGAUCCCACGUGGUGAUGCUACCUGGUGGUAGAUAGCACAGCCAGUCUUUUGCGGAGUCCUUCAAGGAGAAGGGAAAUGCCCUCAUUUUUAUCUAUUUUUCUGUAAUUCUCGGAGGUUUUAUGCUGUUGCAAACGACAUCAAACUCUUGCAAGUGCUUAUACGGUUCCUCACCUGGUAAACCAUAGAAAGAUGGCAAGAGAUGAAUUAGACCAGAUUUUAACUCAAAUGAAGUGUUAUCAUUUAAAAAUAGAAAAGUAACUGAGAUGCAGCACUGGAAUGUUCUUCUCGAAAUUGUCUGGUCUCUUUCUUUGUUCUACGCGUAGUCUUCUCUACCUUAGGAUCAAAAAUUAAUUUACCUGUACGAGAAGAACGAGGCAUACACUAGAAAAACACUAGAAAAUUAGAACAAAAAUGAACAUAAAAAGAAACAAAUAAACCAACGUCAGUCCCCAGCAACGGCGCUAAAAAUUGACAAGUUGUCGAUGCCUGUGCAAUAAUAAAAAUAAACCUAGUUACCAAUUAAAAUAAUCAGAGCCUAAUUCUGAGUACUAGAGCAGGGACUAUAGGUGUGCAAUGGGUUACUUGAUUCACCCUAUUCCUGAAGUUUGCUUAACCCGAUAUACCAGAAUGAGAUUGCUUAUUCAAAAGGAAUUAUUGAUUUGUAAACAGGGCAAGUAGGGUCGUAUCAUCAGGGAUUGAAAAAAUUUGUUUCUUUUCAAAUCCACAGUAACAAGGGGAUGUUUUUGUAUAAAUGAUAACAAUCUAAGGAGUGCAAAUAGAAAUAAAUAGAUAACUAGAAAUUAAAUGACAAUUCACUAAAAUUAGAGUAAUAAUAAUUAAAGGUCUAGCUAAGAAAUAACUUCAGCAAUGGUUCACCUAAUUGAUCAUCGACGCAAAGGCAAUUCCAAUUAUUUACUAAUAAAUAGGUUAUAACUGCAAAACAAGCAAUGACAGUCAACCCCUCCUUACUGUCGGUCGGUGAUUAAGGUACGCCCAAUCACUGCUCUAGUUGAGAAAUAAUUUUAGGGACGCUCGUAAGAUUUAAUUUUCCAAUUGCCUUACGUAUUAGAGGAGCCAUAAUCUAACCAAAUAACGCUACCAGGAUUAUUUUAAAUUAACCCGUGUAUUCCCUUGAUACAAAUUCAAUCAUGUCAGUUGUCACUAUUUCAAGGUAAUGAAACAAUUACGGAUUUAAUAUCCUAAUUGACAAUAGGUUACUAAAUCAAUUCACUAUUUCGAUCCAAGAUAAUCAAUCAAUUUAACAACUAAUAGCACUGCAAUCGGAGAAUAUGUAAAUACCAAUAAAUAAGAGGAAAAGAUAAAAUUAAAUCGAUCUCACAAUUUUUAAACAAAUCAAAGUAUCCGUUGUUUCUUGACUAGAAAAGAAAAUUUAGUUCAUUCCUAAUGUGAAAGACCCACGUGAGAAUUCAAAAAUAAUAUUCACGGAUAUUGUCUUGAUUCAAUAGAUUCAAUUGCGUUGGAAUAAGGAUAAAAAGCCAAACUAUAGAGAGUGAUUCAAUGUUUUGUUUCGUUUGCAUUUUUUCUACACAUAUGGAAGAAGAAAAACAACUAAAGGACGAAAAAAAAAAGUCAAAGAAAGGCACCCAAAGUAGUGCUUGGUCUCUACCAUCCUAUUUCCUAUCUAAUUACUACUUCCCUUCUGCGGCUGCCUAGAGGAAGAAAGAGAAAGCAGACUUCAGGUCUUGUUCCAUCUCCUCCCUUUUCGGCAAUUCCCCAAAAGUAGAAAAGUUCCUCCGUUUACCAAAAUGCCCCUGGAAUGAGGACUGCUACUUGAACUCAUUUUCUUGAUAACUGUCAAAUUAGCACUUGUUAUGGUAUUUGCGUCUACUUCCUGUAAUAAAUGUAAAUUGCCAAAAGUGAGUAAACUGAUAAUUAAUUUACAUCAGGUCAGGUAAUAGGAAAAAUUAAUUAUAAAAUAAAUGAUAAAAUUGCAACCUAUCACUUAGAAUAACCAGAAAUAAAACAAAACAAGAAAUGAAAGAAAUAAGAGGGUAGCAUAGACAUUUUGGAUUUUUCUGUUAAUUUGGAUGAUUUCCACCUACGGUCUAAUUUAAUCCAAAACACAAAUGGAUUAUGUGGAGAUUUUUAAACAAUGAGGGAGUAUCGUGACCGAAUCCCAAACCACAAAGGGGAUUUACUAUAUUUUACUCUUAAAUUUUGGUUUCAUCUCAUAGCAUACAAGAGUACUAUUUCACUGUCUGUCGACCAGGGAGGAGGGUUGGGUUGGGUGGUACGGGGGAGGGAGUCUAAGUAAGAGGUCUCAGGUUCGAAUCCUCCUGUUUAUACUAAAAAAAAAAAUUUACUAUCUGUCGACAAAGAUUUUCUAUGGUUGAUGUACCAUAGGAAAAAUCUGCCUAUACAAUUAUUUGGAAAAAUUAUCCAUCCAAACAUAGUCACGAUAGCAUUUUUUCAAAAACACUAGAUGCAAAAUUGUCCCCUUAAACGUGGAAAUUCAUGAUCUUUCCUCGACUAGUCUACUUGUCAAUUUUUGAAAAAAGAAUACUCACGCCAAAAACACGGCCUCUUCAUCUGCAGAAUUCUAAAAAGUUACGUAAACUCUAUAAACAAGUUGAUAGGUACAAUCGUACCCAAGAUCAAGUACAGAUAGUUGUACAUUCACUGCUGCAAUAACUAAUCUGAUGACUUACAAACACAUCAUGGUCAAUCGUUGAAUGGUAAUGAGUCUUUUGUUAUGCAUUAGUAUUAGUGUGUACACUCUAAUAGAUUGAUACUUAUACUCUUUAAAUUAUCAUAAUAAUACCCUUAAUUAACUUUAACCCUUAAAAAGAAUACGUGUUAAUACACGAGAGUGUGUAACCUGAAUUGUUACUUAUACAUUAGUGUGUAAUAGAACGGCAAGCAUUAUGGUGGUCAUUGAGCAACUUAUAGGAGAAAUAGUCCUAUAAGCUGUUCAAUGACCAAUCACAACUUGCUAAUUGGAUGACUAAUAUAGCUCUAGCUGUAAUGUUUUAAUUAAAUUCCACACUAACGUUGGGAUGACUUUUUAAUCAAAAAAAAAAAAGCCUUAGUUCAAGCUUUUCCCCUUAUUGUGCAUUUUUUAAAACAUUUGAUAGGCACUGCAAAUCUGUCAUUUUGGACAUUUUAUUAUUAACUAACAAUGAAAGCCGUGGACAUCAACCCAUAUCCAACAAAAUAUUAAAUUAAUAUUAGAAAAAUUAUUAAGUAAUUGGAAAAAAAAAAGAAGAGGCUAAUUUUCAUUGAAACCCACCGACAAACUAUCCGUGUCCAUAGCUUUUGAAUAGUGCAUUCAACGUUUAAUUGUAUGGUCCAGUUCAUUGCCGAUUACAUGGAGUAAAGAUUGUGCUCUUUCCUUUUUCACCCCUUUUGGAAUCGAUACUGUGGAGAAUUGGGUUUUUCCCUCCUUUUUUUCUUUUCUUUCCUUCUGUGCUUUGCAAAACAUACGUAAAAAUAUGAAAUCCGAAGCAUUCUUUAAUUGGGAUUAAGUAUUGUUGUUGAAAUUAAAAAGAAGAAAGAAAGAACAACAAAAAUCCCAAUCUGGGUUGAUUGUUGAGCUCUAGAUUGGCUGCAUCGUGCUUCCAUAGAAGUUCUCUUAGUGUGAUACGCUGCUUUCAAUCAGUUUUAAUAUUUAAGUAGAGUGCAAAAUAACUUUACUAUUUAAUGGGUUAUAAUGCACCAUUUGGUACCUCUCACCCACCUAUGAUUUGAUUUACUACUGGCAUGGUAAUGGACAGAGUUGGGGGAGCAGGAGGAGGGAGAUGGCGGUACCAGUCCGUCAACCACAGCACACCCUCCCUCGGACUUUGCGUGGUAGCGAAGUGGAGGCAGAUCGAGCACACAUGCACUAACGCCUUAAGUAUGUACAAUAUAUGUAUGCCAAAAGCAUAGCCAAGCCUACCAGCGCAUUUCAAUAAUAUAACCCGGAAAUUAAGGGCAUUGAAUUAAGUACGAUGAAUCAUAUUGGUGCACAAUUACAGUUUGAAGCUACCGAUUCGAGUAAAUUUAAGCGUAAGCACAAUCAAUCGCCAGUCAAAUGCUGAAAUAUGCAUAUGCAUGGAUGAAUGUAUGGGUUUCUUAGUUCCAGACCAAAGGCCAACAAUAAGGGAAGGAAGGACAGUUCUCAUUUUUAGCACGGACAAGGAGAUGAAGAAAAGUGUAUGUAGCUUGAGACAGAACAAUGGCAUGUGACCGCUCCUGAGACCACAUAACGUGGGGUGGGGAUGGGACGGCCAAGAAUGAAGAUGCCUGUCGGUCUCUCCGUGCUGCUACCAUAUGAAUCCCCCGUUAACCAAUUCAAGAUAAGCCUGAAGUUCUUUUCAUCCCCAAACCCUGUCCCAUCUGUGUAAAUCCAACAUCAUCAUUUACGACCUGCAACUCAGGUUAAGCAUGUUCUAUUGAGAUUCAGACACCACCCUUCAAAAGAUAUACUACUGUGAAACCAGCAGCUUAAUAUCAUUGUAUAAAAAAAAAAAAAAAAGAAAGAAGAAAAGACAUGAAAAGCAAAUUUUGUGGGGAUAAUUUCAAAAUCUCUCCUAAAGUUUUUUACUAUUUUACUGGCCUCCUUUCAAAUUUUAAAAAUUACACCAGUCUUCCUUGAGAUUAUUUAUCUUGUAACAUUGAGGUCCAAUCAAUAAUUAAAAAAUGAUAUUAUGAGAGAGAAAAAAAAUAAACUUUAACAUCAUAAAUAUUCUUAUCAACAUAUUAAAGUUAGUUACUGAAAUUUUUAUGGUGUUAAACUUCACUCUUUGUAAUAUUUUAGUUACAGAUUUUUUGAUUACUUGUUGUUGAUUUUUUUUUUUUUAGUGUAAACAGGAGGACUCGAACCUAAGACCUCUCACUUACACUCCCUCCCCCCGUACCACCCCAACCCAACCCAACCCUCCCCUCGUUGUUGAUCAUGUUUGACAAUGGAUUUGUAAUUGAAAAGAACAAUUUGGAUCUUACAUUGAGUGAAAUAUAUAGAAUGAUAUACUAUUUUUUAUGGCAUAUGUGAUUCAAUCCUUGAUGAUAAAAGCAAAUUCAAGUGUUUUCUUUAAUGUUUGUGCUGAUAUUAGAUUAAUUAAAUAAUUUAGUAGAUGAAGGAAAAUGGUGAAAUCAUAUUAUCUUCUCUUUCCUAAUAUCACUAUUUAAUUAUUGAUUGAACUUAGAUAUUACAAAUAAUAAAUCUCAAGGGAGAUUAGUAUAAUUUUCAAAUUUUGGAGAGAAGCUAAUGAAAUAGUCAAAAACCUUAAGGGAGGUUUACAAAAUUAUCCCAAAUUUGUGGGAAUUAGAAUAAUUGUACUGGACGGCACUGCCGCAACAGAGGGAAAGAGGAGGAGGUGCAGUUAACUUUUUGUUGUUUGAAAUCCUUGGUGAAAUAUUACAGAAAGACAGAUAAAACAGUUAGUACAUAGAUGUAUAUGACAGGGAAAAUGGUACGUCUGUUAAUCACAUUUGAAACACUUUCAUUGGUGAAUGACGAAAACUAUCAGGCUUGCCCAAUAGUUGAUCAUUGACCAAGACAAAUCUUGCCAUGCUAGAGGUACCAUCUUUUCGUACCUCUUUAGUGCACAGGACAUUCCUUUGUUUCAUCUAGCUAAUAAUCUACCAACUCAUUUCUUUGCAAAUGCACCUUUUAUGGUCACGUCUACGAAAGCUUUACAGGAUCUUUACCCAAAAAAUCAAUUCACCGACUCGCAUUUGAUGUCAAAAUUUCUUUACUUUACUCCAAGAUUGACUGUUAAUAAUAAUGCCACUUUGAAUUAUCACACCAUCCUUCUUGAUAGGAUUUGUGCUAGAGGUAGGGAGGGAGUCGCUGCAGCCGGUCUUCUCUUCAUAGACAGUACAAUAUUGCGAAAUCGAUCGCAUUCACGCAAUAUUAUAUUUCCAAGUCGUUGCAUGGGUAAGCUGCCAAAAAGUACGAACACAUGUUAUUAUAUAGCUUAAGAUUCAAAACUUUCGAGCAUAACCCUCCACCUAACACAAUUGAAUAAUGGAUAUUCACGAUUGUCAAAUCUGUCAAAGUACAGUUUGAGGACAACCCAUUCCAACCUGCAAAAGGUUUUUUUACUUUUCUAAAGUUGUUGAGAGCUGUUAAAAGAUUUACCAUGCUUACAUCUUCCGAGCCUUGGGAGUUAAAAAUGAAGGCACUGAGUGCUAUAAAAAGGGAAUAGAGGCUGCCUAGAAGCAUACCAGCCUAAAACAAGGAUUUGUAGUUAUGAUGGGAAGCAAAGCAAAAGCAAUGGGGUCUGGGCUGACUCCUCUUCUUGCCACUGUUUUAGUGGUGUUUGUUGCUCUUGGCUUGCCCUCAGAAACUGCAGCUGAUGAUCACUACAAGUAUUCAUCUCCUCCUCCUCCUUACACUAUCCCUCACCACCACCUCCAGUGCAUAUACCUCCACCUCAUCCUGUUUACAAGUACAAAUCUCCACCACCCCCACCACCACACCCAGUUUACAAGUAUAAGUCACCACCACCACCUCCUCAUCCGGUACCACACCCAGUUCCUCAUCCGGUGCCACACCCAGUUCCUCAUCCGGUGCCACACCCAGUUUACAAGUAUAAGUCACCACCACCACCUCCUCAUCCGGUACCACACCCAGUUCCUCAUCCGGUACCCACACCCAGUUUACAAGUAUAAGUCACACCACCACCUCCUCAUCCGGUACCACACCCAGUUUACAAGUAUAAGUCACCACCACCACCUCCUCAUCCGGUAUACAAGUAUAAGUCUCUCCGCCACCAACACCCAGUUUACAAGUAUAAGUCACCACCACCACCUCCUCAUCCGGUGCCACACCCAGUUUACCACUACAAGUCACCACCACCACCUCCUCAUCCGGUACCACACCAGUUUACCAUACAAGUCACCACCAAUCCUCACCCAGUUUACAAAUACGAGUCUCCACCACCUCCAGUUUAUAAGUACAAGUCACCACCACCUCCUCCACCAGUUUACAAGUAUAAAUCUCCUCCACCACCACCACCAGUUUACCACUACAAGUCUCCACCACCUCCUCCCCCAGUUUACAAAUACAAGUCUCCACCACCUCCUCACCACUACUAAGCAAUUGCUUCUGAGGUAAUAACACUUGUUCAAUAUACCCACUUCUGCAUGAUAAAGCAUAUCUCUAUCAACACAAACUGUCAUGUCUAUCAUGCUAAGUGCCUUCACUUCAUCCACCAAAAUGACUGCUAGAAAAUUUUUUUUAUGUUACCAAAGAAAGGCAUCAUUUUUUCCCUCUGUUAUCAAGAACUUGUACAGUAUAUAGAUUAAAGAGUUUUUAUUUUAACUAGCUUAUCAACUUAGAAAUGCAUAUAGCUGAUAACCAGCUGAAUAUUUGCAGGCAAAGGAGAAGGAAACCAUGUUUGAGACCUUCUUGAAGAUGUAGAAGCAUAAGAAUAAAAGCCCAAUGUGAAGAUGAUGAUUUCAAGUUUUUCUACGUUACCAUUUCUUUAUCUAAAUUGGUUGUAGCGCCCAAGUUCCUUUGUUUAUGGGAUUUGUAUCGUUUUACGUACCAUGCAGUACAUGUCAUGUUUGUAAGGUUUUCUAUCCUGCCGGCAAACCGCAGGUUCCAUGUGAUAAAUGAAUACUAUUUAUGUUACGACACUUUUCUCUGUUUCUCUUAUAUUUUGUCUUUAAUAUUCUUAAUCAUAUUUUUAACAAAAAUAUUCAAACA
Molecule: long non-coding RNA, 15338 nt
Filed under: Coffea arabica (coffee)
Lineage: Eukaryota; Viridiplantae; Streptophyta; Magnoliopsida; Gentianales; Rubiaceae
Description: long non-coding RNA (CARA_LNC007267)
Rfam family: Plant small nucleolar RNA R71 (bases 7525-7631)
Source: RNAcentral